RNAcentral lists this ribosomal RNA (438 nucleotides) under uncultured bacterium. RNAcentral describes it as "bacterial SSU rRNA". It matches the Rfam family "Bacterial small subunit ribosomal RNA", at positions 338 to 767 of the family's 1533-position model. The record is from RNAcentral.
CCUACGGGAGGCAGCAGUGGGGAAUAUUGGACAAUGGGCGAAAGCCUGAUCCAGCAAUACCGCGUGUGUGAAGAAGGCCCUAGGGUUGUAAAGCACUUUUGUUAGGGAGAACGGGUUUUGAUAUUAAUACCAUCAGAAUCUGAUGUUACCUAAAGAAUAAGCACCGGCUAACUCCGUGCCAGCAGCCGCGGUAAUACGGAGGGUGCAAGCGUUAAUCGGAAUUACUGGGCGUAAAGGGCGCGUAGGUGGUAUUUUAAGUUGGGUGUGAAAUCCCCGGGCUCAACCUGGGAAUUGCAUCCAAAACUGGAAUGCUAGAGUGUGGUAGAGGGUAGCGGAAUUUCUGGUGUAGCGGUGAAAUGCGUAGAUAUCAGAAGGAACAUCAAUGGCGAAGGCAGCUACCUGGGCCAACACUGACGCUGAGGCGCGAAAGCAUGGGGA